GAUGAAGAACGUAGCGAAAUGCGAUAAGUAAUGCGAAUUGCAGAAUUUCCGUGAGUCAUCGAAUCUUUGAACGCACAUUGCGCCCACUGGUAUUCCGGUGGGCAUGCCUGUUCGAGCGUCAUUAUCCUCCCUCAAACCUCGGGUUUGGUGUUGGACCCAAGUUGUGUGAACAACUGGUCUCAAAGACAAUGACGGCGUCCGUGGGACCCUCGGUGCAACGAGCUUUUAAACGAGCACGCGUCGAGUUUCAAGGACCUUCCGGGCCGGUCUCCUUCUUUUAUUUACAAAGGUUGACCUCGGAUCAGGUAGGACUACCCGCUGAACUUAAGCAUAUCAAUAAGCGGAGGA
Molecule: unclassified non-coding RNA, 348 nt
Filed under: soil metagenome
Description: partial contains 5.8S ribosomal RNA, internal transcribed spacer 2, and large subunit ribosomal RNA
Rfam family: 5.8S ribosomal RNA (bases 1-121)
Source: RNAcentral